UCAGAAUGUAUACUCAGUGGGCAAGUUAGAUCCGUAACUUCGGGAUAAGGAUUGGCUCUAAGGGCUAGGUCGGUCGGGCUGGGGUGCAAAGAGGGGCUCAAGCCGCGGCUGGGGGAGCAGUUACUCCGUCGCCCUUCUCUCGCCACCGUAGGAUGUUCGUUGUGUGGCCCAUCUCGUGGUCUCACAAGUGGCUGUGUGCGGGGGUACGUCGCGGGUGGUGUCCGUCAGCGGGCCGAAGGCUGACCGGUGGGGGGGUUGGGUCCGGUGGUUGGUGACGGCGACUCUGGAUGUGCACUGGGCCCUUCUCACGGAUCUCCCCAGCUACGGCGCUAGCAGCUGACUUAGAACUGGUGCGGACCAAGGGAAUCCGAUUGUUUAAUGUUUUUAAAAGCAUCGCAAAGGCCCGAGGUGGGUGUUGACCUGAUGUGAUUUCUGUCCUCUGCUCUGAAUGUCAAAGUGAAGUAAUUCAAUGAAGUGUAAAUGAAUCCUGACCUUGACAGGACACCAACACUCAUGAGACUCGAGGCGGAGAGUAAACCCAUUGGCCCCGUAGUGAUAGGGCAUUGCAUGAAUCUGGAGGUAUCUCCAGCUUGUCUGGGGAGGGAGGCCUACAUCUGAUGUGGGUAGUACCAUCCAAGCCCAUUGAUUUGCUGCGGACCAAUAAAACGGACGGAUGAAGCCUAGGUUCCCACUGCACGGAUCACUGAAUGUCAACUUGAUGAAAUUCAAAAGGAGCAUACCCACCUGUCGCGGUCACACUCAAAUCACCCAAGCACAUUUGGUAUAUGUGCGAAGCUACUAUCUGUGGGAUUUUGGCUGAACGCCUCUAAGUCAGAAUCCCCCCUAAACGUAACGAUACUGUAGGACCAUGGAUCUUUGGUUGGCCCGGGAUAGCCUGCCUCUUUUGGCAGGUGAGUAGAGCCGUUCGUGACGGGGUUGGGGUGCGGCCGGAUAAGUUGCCGCCCCUCUCCUGAUGCGCACCACAUGUUUGUGGGGAACCUGGUGCUAAAUCAUUCAUAGACAACCUGAUUUUGGGUCAGGGUUUCGUACGUAGCAGAGCAGCUCACUCGCUGCGAUUUAUUGACAGUCAGCCCUCAAUCCAAGCUUU
This is a non-coding RNA of Salmo salar (Atlantic salmon), 1108 nucleotides long. NCBI's taxonomy places the organism in Eukaryota, Metazoa, Chordata, Actinopteri, Salmoniformes, Salmonidae. The record is from Rfam.